CUUGAACAGCGAGUGACCAGCUCCGAAAGGAGCCUUCCGCAAGGACACUCGUAGAGGUGCUGCAUGGCUGUCGUCAGCUCGUGUCGUGAGAUGUUGGGUUAAGUCCCGCAACGAGCGCAACCCUUGUUUGCUGUUGCCAUCACGUUAUGGUGGGCACUCUGCAAAGACUGCCGGUGAUAAACCGGAGGAAGGUGGGGAUGACGUCAAGUCAGCAUGGCCUUUAUGUCUGGGGCUACACACGUGCUACAAUGGCCGGUACAAACCGUCGCGAUACCGUAAGGUGGAGCUAAUCGGAGAAAGCCGGUCUCAGUUCGGAUCGUAGGCUGCAACUCGCCUGCGUGAAGUUGGAAUCGCUAGUAAUCGCGGAUCAGCACGCCGUGGUGAAUACGUUCCCGGGCCUUGUACACACCGCCCGUCACAUCACGAAAGCCGGUUGUACUAGAAGUCGCCACACUAACCCGCAAGGGAGGGAGGCGCCUAAGGUAUGGUCGGUGAUUGGGGUGAAGUCGUAACAAGGUAGGCGUAGUGCU
This 530-nucleotide ribosomal RNA is filed under the name uncultured bacterium. Its description in RNAcentral is "bacterial SSU rRNA". It matches the Rfam family "Bacterial small subunit ribosomal RNA", at positions 980 to 1509 of the family's 1533-position model. The record is from RNAcentral.